GGGACACGUGGUAUCCUGUCUGAAUAUGGGGGGACCAUCCUCCAAGGCUAAAUACUCCUGACUGACCGAUAGUGAACCAGUACCGUGAGGGAAAGGCGAAAAGAACCCCGGCGAGGGGAGUGAAAAAGAACCUGAAACCGUGUACGUACAAGCAGUGGGAGCACGCUUAGGCGUGUGACUGCGUACCUUUUGUAUAAUGGGUCAGCGACUUAUAUUCUGUAGCAAGGUUAACCGAAUAGGGGAGCCGAAGGGAAACCGAGUCUUAACUGGGCGUUAAGUUGCAGGGUAUAGACCCGAAACCCGGUGAUCUAGCCAUGGGCAGGUUGAAGGUUGGGUAACACUAACUGGAGGACCGAACCGACUAAUGUUGAAAAAUUAGCGGAUGACUUGUGGCUGGGGGUGAAAGGCCAAUCAAACCGGGAGAUAGCUGGUUCUCCCCGAAAGCUAUUUAGGUAGCGCCUCGUGAAUUCAUCUCCGGGGGUAGAGCACUGUUUCGGCAAGGGGGUCAUCCCGACUUACCAACCCGAUGCAAACUGCGAAUACCGGAGAAUGUUAUCACGGGAGACACACGGCGGGUGCUAACGUCCGUCGUGAAGAGGGAAACAACCCAGACCGCCAGCUAAGGUCCCAAAGUCAUGGUUAAGUGGGAAACGAUGUGGGAAGGCCCAGACAGCCAGGAUGUUGGCUUAGAAGCAGCCAUCAUUUAAAGAAAGCGUAAUAGCUCACUGGUCGAGUCGGCCUGCGCGGAAGAUGUAACGGGGCUAAACCAUGCACCGAAGCUGCGGCAGCGACGCUGAUGCGUUGUUGGGUAGGGGAGCGUUCUGUAAGCCUACGAAGGUGUGCUGUGAGGCAUGCUGGAGGUAUCAGAAGUGCGAAUGCUGACAUAAGUAACGAUAAAGCGGGUGAAAAGCCCGCUCGCCGGAAGACCAAGGGUUCCUGUCCAACGUUAAUCGGGGCAGGGUGAGUCGACCCCUAAGGCGAGGCCGAAAGGCGUAGU
This 997-nucleotide ribosomal RNA is filed under the name Escherichia coli. RNAcentral describes it as "partial 23S ribosomal RNA". It matches the Rfam family "Bacterial large subunit ribosomal RNA", at positions 419 to 1415 of the family's 2925-position model. Lineage: Bacteria; Pseudomonadati; Pseudomonadota; Gammaproteobacteria; Enterobacterales; Enterobacteriaceae. The record is from RNAcentral.